UACGAAGGGGGCUAGCGUUGCUCGGAUUUCCUGGGCGUAAAGGGCGCGUAGGCGGACAGUUUAGUCAGAGGUGAAAGCCCAGGGCUCAACCUUGGAAUUGCCUUUGAUACUGGCUGUCUUGAGUACGGGAGAGGUGAGUGGAACUCCGAGUGUAGAGGUGAAAUUCGUAGAUAUUCGGAAGAACACCAGUGGCGAAGGCGACUCACUGGCCCGUUACUGACGCUGAGGCGCGAAAGCGUGGGGAGCAAACAGG
RNAcentral lists this ribosomal RNA (253 nucleotides) under uncultured bacterium. Its description in RNAcentral is "partial 16S ribosomal RNA". It matches the Rfam family "Bacterial small subunit ribosomal RNA", at positions 524 to 776 of the family's 1533-position model. The record is from RNAcentral.